RNAcentral lists this ribosomal RNA (873 nucleotides) under uncultured Aggregatibacter sp. RNAcentral's name for it is "bacterial SSU rRNA". It matches the Rfam family "Bacterial small subunit ribosomal RNA", at positions 27 to 890 of the family's 1533-position model. The record is from RNAcentral. Lineage: Bacteria; Pseudomonadati; Pseudomonadota; Gammaproteobacteria; Pasteurellales; Pasteurellaceae.
GAUUGAACGCUGGCGGCAGGCUUAACACAUGCAAGUCGAACGGUAGCAGGUAAGUACUUGUACUUAUGCUGACGAGUGGCGGACGGGUGAGUAAUGCUUGGGGAUCUGGCUUAUGGAGGGGGAUAACGACGGGAAACUGUCGCUAAUACCGCGUAGAAUCGAGAGAUGAAAGUGUGGGACCUUCGGGCCACAUGCCAUAGGAUGAACCCAAGUGGGAUUAGGUAGUUGGUAGGGUAAUGGCCUACCAAGCCGACGAUCCCUAGCUGGUCUGAGAGGAUGACCAGCCACACCGGGACUGAGACACGGCCCGGACUCCUACGGGAGGCAGCAGUGGGGAAUAUUGCGCAAUGGGGGCAACCCUGACGCAGCCAUGCCGCGUGAAUGAAGAAGGCCUUCGGGUUGUAAAGUUCUUUCGGUGACGAGGAAGGUUGUUGUGUUAAUAGCGCAACAAAUUGACGUUAAUCACAGAAGAAGCACCGGCUAACUCCGUGCCAGCAGCCGCGGUAAUACGGAGGGUGCGAGCGUUAAUCGGAAUAACUGGGCGUAAAGGGCACGCAGGCGGACUUUUAAGUGAGGUGUGAAAUCCCCGGGCUUAACCUGGGAAUUGCAUUUCAGACUGGGGGUCUAGAGUACUUUAGGGAGGGGUAGAAUUCCACGUGUAGCGGUGAAAUGCGUAGAGAUGUGGAGGAAUACCGAAGGCGAAGGCAGCCCCUUGGGAAUGUACUGACGCUCAUGUGCGAAAGCGUGGGGGAGCAAACAGGAUUAGAUACCCUGGUAGUCCACGCUGUAAACGCUGUCGAUUUGGGGAUUGGGCUUUGAGCUUGGUGCCCGUAGCUAACGUGAUAAAUCGACCGCCUGGGGAGUACGGCCGCA